RNAcentral lists this long non-coding RNA (369 nucleotides) under Rattus norvegicus (Norway rat). RNAcentral describes it as "long non-coding RNA NONRATT003441". The record is from RNAcentral. Lineage: Eukaryota; Metazoa; Chordata; Mammalia; Rodentia; Muridae.
GCCAGAUGCUGUCUAGGUAUGUGGGCUUUGAGGGCUAAUCUAUUUCUGUCCCCAAACAGGUUCCCUUGCUGGUGCCAGGACUCAGUUACCCACUGGAGACCUUUGUAGAGAGUCUCAGCAGCAAGGGCAUCUCAGACAUAAUCAAGGUGCUCGUGCUCCGGGAAGGCCAGAGUGCACCCCUGCUGAGUGCCCACAUCAACAUGCCUGUGAGUGAAGGUCUGGCAGCUGCCUGAGCCCUGGGCCAGCAUUCAAGCCUCCACAAGAUGAAGCCAGUCAGAUCCAGUGACUUCCAGUGUCACCAGACUACUUCCCCCCAACAGCAGUGUAGUGAGACAUCAGCUCCCUGUUCCUGUCAGACAGUCCCUUGCU